Molecule: ribosomal RNA, 721 nt
Filed under: Salmonella enterica
Lineage: Bacteria; Pseudomonadati; Pseudomonadota; Gammaproteobacteria; Enterobacterales; Enterobacteriaceae
Also listed under: 1 other name
Description: partial 23S ribosomal RNA
Rfam family: Bacterial large subunit ribosomal RNA
Source: RNAcentral
CCCCGGUAAACGGCGGCCGUAACUAUAACGGUCCUAAGGUAGCGAAAUUCCUUGUCGGGUAAGUUCCGACCUGCACGAAUGGCGUAAUGAUGGCCAGGCUGUCUCCACCCGAGACUCAGUGAAAUUGAACUCGCUGUGAAGAUGCAGUGUACCCGCGGCAAGACGGAAAGACCCCGUGAACCUUUACUAUAGCUUGACACUGAACAUUGAGCCUUGAUGUGUAGGAUAGGUGGGAGGCUUUGAAGUGUGGACGCCAGUCUGCAUGGAGCCGACCUUGAAAUACCACCCUUUAAUGUUUGAUGUUCUAACGUGGACCCGUAAUCCGGGUUGCGGACAGUGUCUGGUGGGUAGUUUGACUGGGGCGGUCUCCUCCUAAAGAGUAACGGAGGAGCACGAAGGUUGGCUAAUCCUGGUCGGACAUCAGGAGGUUAGUGCAAUGGCAUAAGCCAGCUUGACUGCGAGCGUGACGGCGCGAGCAGGUGCGAAAGCAGGUCAUAGUGAUCCGGUGGUUCUGAAUGGAAGGGCCAUCGCUCAACGGAUAAAAGGUACUCCGGGGAUAACAGGCUGAUACCGCCCAAGAGUUCAUAUCGACGGCGGUGUUUGGCACCUCGAUGUCGGCUCAUCACAUCCUGGGGCUGAAGUAGGUCCCAAGGGUAUGGCUGUUCGCCAUUUAAAGUGGUACGCGAGCUGGGUUUAGAACGUCGUGAGACAGUUCGGUCCC